RNAcentral lists this unclassified non-coding RNA (388 nucleotides) under uncultured bacterium. Its description in RNAcentral is "contains 16S-23S intergenic spacer region". The record is from RNAcentral.
UCCGGUUUGGCACCGGCAGUCCCCCGAGAGUCCUCAGCAGUUUGCACCCUGUUAGCAACACGGGGCGGGGGUUGCGCUCGUUGCGGGACUUAACCCAACAUCUCACGACACGAGCUGACGACAGCCAUGCAGCACCUGUCACCGGUCCAGCCGAACUGAAGGGAUCCAUCUCUGGAUCCCGCGACCGGGAUGUCAAACGCUGGUAAGGUUCUGCGCGUUGCUUCGAAUUAGACCACAUGCUCCACCGCUUGUGCAGGCCCCCGUCAAUUUCUUUGAGUUUUAGCCUUGCGGCCGUACUUCCCAGGCGGGGCACUUAAUGCGUUAGCUGCGGCACAGGAGGAGUCGACACCUCCCACACCUAGUGCCCAUCGUUUACGGCGUGGACUAC